AUUGAACGCUGGCGGCAUGCCUAACACAUGCAAGUCGAACGGCAGCAUGAUAAGAGCUUGCUCUUAUUGAUGGCGAGUGGCGGACGGGUGAGUAAUAUGUAGGAAUCUACCUAGAGGAGGGGGAUAACUUAGGGAAACUUAAGCUAAUACCACAUAAGCCCUACGGGGGAAAGCAGGGGAUCGCAAGACCUUGCGCCAUAUGAUGAGCCUACAUCGGAUUAGCUUGUUGGUGGGGUAAAGGCCUACCAAGGCGAUGAUCCGUAGCUGGUCUGAGAGGAUGACCAGCCACACUGGGACUGAGACACGGCCCAGACUCCUACGGGAGGCAGCAGUGGGGAAUAUUGGACAAUGGGGGCAACCCUGAUCCAGCAAUGCCGCGUGUGUGAAGAAGGCCUUAGGGUUGUAAAGCACUUUCAGUGGGGAGGAAGGGUUUAAUGCUAAUAUCAUUGAACAUUGACGUUACCCACAGAAGAAGCACCGGCUAACUCUGUGCCAGCCGCCGCCGUAA
RNAcentral lists this ribosomal RNA (508 nucleotides) under uncultured bacterium. Its description in RNAcentral is "partial 16S ribosomal RNA". It matches the Rfam family "Bacterial small subunit ribosomal RNA", at positions 30 to 523 of the family's 1533-position model. The record is from RNAcentral.